RNAcentral lists this ribosomal RNA (492 nucleotides) under uncultured bacterium. RNAcentral's name for it is "partial 16S ribosomal RNA". It matches the Rfam family "Bacterial small subunit ribosomal RNA", at positions 29 to 507 of the family's 1533-position model. The record is from RNAcentral.
AGUGAACGCUGGCGGUAGGCCUAACACAUGCAAGUCGAACGGCAGCACAGUAAGAGCUUGCUCUUACGGGUGGCGAGUGGCGGACGGGUGAGGAAUACAUCGGAAUCUACUUUUUCGUGGGGGAUAACGUAAGAAAACUUACGCUAAUACCGCAUACGACCUACGGGUGAAAGCAGGGGAUCUUCGGACCUUGCGCGAUAGAAUGAGCCGAUGUCGGAUUAGCUAGUUGGCGGGGUAAAGGCCCACCAAGGCGACGAUACGUAGCUGGUCUGAGAGGAUGAUCAGCCACACUGGAACUGAGACACGGUCCAGACUCCUACGGGAGGCAGCAGUGGGGAAUAUUCGACAAAGGGCGCAAGCCUGAUCCAGCCAUACCGCGUGGGUGAAGAAGGCCUUCGGGUUGUAAAGCUCUUUUGUUGGGAAAGAACAGCAGCAUGUUUAUCCACGGCUGUUCUGACGGUACCCAAACAAUAAGCACCGGCUAACUUCGUG